Papaver somniferum (opium poppy) is the source of this 2265-nucleotide long non-coding RNA. RefSeq lists it as uncharacterized. NCBI's taxonomy places the organism in Eukaryota, Viridiplantae, Streptophyta, Magnoliopsida, Ranunculales, Papaveraceae. The transcript has 2 exons. The record is from RefSeq and is a predicted model, not a curated record.
AUAAGUUAUAAAACAUAAGGAUAGGAGAAGAAGAAAGAGAUGGAGCUAGAGAUUUUUAGAGAAGAAUGAUAAAGAAAAUCAAGAGGAGUUUGUAGCAAUUGAGAGAAUCGAUUAUAAGGGCAUCAUGAAUUGGAUUUCAAUUGAUGGAGAGGAAACUUGUGAGACCAGGGAAGAAUAGUAGCUGGAAAUUUGUAAAUGAAUGAUCAUUUGGAGCUGCAGCUGCUUUGAUUUCUCUCAUGUAUGGGAGCAGGAUACAGCACCAGAAAGAGUGGUGUUGAUAUAUCAUCUAUGGAAGUGCCCGUUAAGGGUGAAGGUAUUUGGUAAAUCACUACAAGAAUACGAGCUGAACUCCCAGAGAACAACACUUAGUCUCAUAACCUUCAGCAGACAGAUAUUGAAUCACAGCAAACACAUCAAAGAUAAGUAUUCCUUGAUCUUUACUUGUAUAUGUGACUUCAGUUACCUAUGAUUCAAUUGCUUAAUGGAAACUGUUUGAUUUAUUGCUCGAACUUACUUAAACGCUCUCUGCAUUCUGCAACCUUUAAAUUUCGCUUGAUAUAUGACACCUAAUUGAAACAAUCAAUUUGCUUGCACUCUUAGUAAGCUUCACGCUGGUUGAAAACCAGCAUCAGCGGACUCGAUAAUAAUUCUUAACUUUCCUUUUUGUUUUCUCUUCUUUUAUGGUUCACCAUCAUUUGGUAAUUGCCCCAUAAUCUGAAUGUUGCCUUAUGUUUUAGCAAAUUUGUAAUAUGAAUUGUUUUAUCGCCAAAUCUAAGAAGCGCCUUAUGCCAGCUUAUGCAUUAACUAUUUGAUGACAGUCCUUACCCUGAUGUUCUCACCCUGGCAUCCUAAGAUACAUUAUUGUUAAUCCUCUUUAAAUUGUAUGCUUGUAUCGGUUCGAUUUAAGCACAUUUGAGCAUGCCCGGAGUUCAAUCAGUUUAUCUUUGGAUUAUACAGCUUAACAAUGUUAAAUAUCCUUAUAAUGAUGAGCAUGAGCGUAACUGUCUCACUUUAGUGAAAAACAUGUUUAAAUCAUAAAGCAUGAGCUUGCUUAGCUAGGUACAACUGUUGCAUGUGGAUAAAACACCUGAAUAAUGAACCAUAUGAUUAAAAUUUGCUCAACUAGCAUCUGCCAUGUAUAUCUUGCUUGAAUAACACAAAUCUGCUUUAUAUAUAUCAUACAUUAUGAGCUGGUCUAUUGCUUCUAAUUGCAUCUGAGUGACGUUUAAUGUUAUACCUCAUGAACUUGAUCUGAGAUCUUUAAGCCUGAAUUGAUUUACAUAACUAUCUAUGCUAGCAAUGUAAGAUCUAUUGAGCUGUGUACUUAGAUGAAAUGAAUCGAGCUAAAUAAGCAUUUAAAAUAUCUCUUUCAAAAGGCAUGAUAAUCUGUUUACAUUAUUAUACAUGAAUCCUAGUCGAUCUAUAAGCAUGCAAUUGAAGUGAUAUAGCUUAACUGAAACCUUGUAGCCCCUGAGACACCUAUCUGAGCGGAACUGAUCAAACAUAAUUUUAUAAACUUACAAUGUUAAACUUUAAUUUGUCACCUAUGAGCCGAUUUAUGAAUUUAUCUGUCACUUAUACGAACUGACGAGUUUUAAUGAUCUUGCUCUGUAUACAAGAAAAAAGCAUGAACUUACGAUAAAUCUGUUGUCGGUGUGACAUGGAAACCGCGUUACACAGCUGUAAUCCUGGGGAAGUGGAAGUAGUCCUGGUUACAACCCUUUUGGAUCUUUGGUAAAUUUGGUUAAGAGGAAUGGAACUUUAAAAAACAGCUUUACUUUGAAUUUUGAAUAUUGAUUUGUGGCAGUAGCAACCAAAAGCGUAAAGACUACAGACUUUUAUGAACUUACAAUAAACCUGUUGAGCAUCAUAUAGAGCUUCUCAUAUGCAUGAUAGUUUUAAUGACCUUGUUCUAUAUACAAGAAAAGGGCAUGAAUUGCUUAUUGACAUGAAUGAUUUUGAACAUUCCUGAGUUCGAAUAAUGCAUAUAAAAACAACUCUUGAGGAGUAUAGAAUGAUUAUCAGAUAUGUCUGAUAAGGUAAAAUCCUCGAUUCAUUCUUCUAGUAUUUCAAUUUUCUAUGAAUAUUAUUGCCUAACAAUGUAUUUCAAAUGUUGUAGACCUCUGAGUAGCACAGACAAAAUGUACUUGCUUAAAUUAUCUGUGUACAACCUUUUGAGUUUUCAGUCUCAGAAACCUAAGGGUCUGUUUGGCAGCUUGGAAACGGAACAACAUAUCAUAAGUAGAGAUAUCCUUUAUCUGACUA